GAUGAACGCUGGCGGCGUGCCUAAUACAUGCAAGUCGAGCGAACGGACGAGAAGCUUGCUUCUCUGAUGUUAGCGGCGGACGGGUGAGUAACACGUGGAUAACCUACCUAUAAGACUGGGAUAACUUCGGGAAACCGGAGCUAAUACCGGAUAAUAUUUUGGACCGCAUGGUUCAAAAGUGAAAGACGGUCUUGCUGUCACUUAUAGAUGGAUCCGCGCUGCAUUAGCUAGUUGGUAAGGUAACGGCUUACCAAGGCAACGAUGCAUAGCCGACCUGAGAGGGUGAUCGGCCACACUGGAACUGAGACACGGUCCAGACUCCUACGGGAGGCAGCAGUAGGGAAUCUUCCGAAAUGGGCGAAAGCCUGACGGAGCAACACCGCGUGAGUGAUGAAGGUCUUCGGAUCGUAAAACUCUGUUAUUAGGGAAGAACAUAUGUGUAAGUAACUGUGCACAUCUUGACGGUACCUAAUCAGAAAGCCACGGCUAACUACGUG
This 497-nucleotide ribosomal RNA is filed under the name uncultured bacterium. Its description in RNAcentral is "partial 16S ribosomal RNA". It matches the Rfam family "Bacterial small subunit ribosomal RNA", at positions 28 to 507 of the family's 1533-position model. The record is from RNAcentral.